AUACACGCAAUGAACGGGAGCAGUAGAUGACGAAGGUGAACAGAGAGCUGCGGGGUGGUGCGACGCAGUCACCGGAAAACAUUGAAUCUCGCCCGGGAGCGGAGCGGCGGAAAGGCAAGAGGUACGCCGCAACGGUUGUCCCCGUUAACGGACCUUCAUGUAUCGUGGUCGGUUCCUUAUGAAACCGGUACGGGAUACAUGGGGAAGAGCUGGACGCAGCUGGGCUUGGCAUUACCAGGAGCCUAUGCGUCAAAAAGAGUGGUACCGCGGAGGGGUGACCCGCCGUCUCUUUA
RNAcentral lists this non-coding RNA (293 nucleotides) under Paenibacillus sp. RNAcentral describes it as "T-box sequence". It matches the Rfam family "T-box leader". Rfam says of the family: Uncharged tRNA acts as the effector for transcription antitermination of genes in the T-box leader family. Lineage: Bacteria; Bacillati; Bacillota; Bacilli; Caryophanales; Paenibacillaceae. The record is from RNAcentral.